GAUGAAGAACGCAGCGAAAUGCGAUAAGUAGUGUGAAUUGCAGAAUUCAGUGAAUCAUCGAAUCUUUGAACGCACAUUGCACCUCUCGGUAUUCCGGGAGGUAUGCCUGUUCGAGCGUCAUUUGUACCCUCAAGCUCUGCUUGGUGUUGGGUGUUUGUUCCGCCUCUGUGUGUGAACUCGCCUCAAAACAAUUGGCAGCCGGCGUACUUGUUUCGGAGCGCAGCACAUUUUGCGAUCCAGAUCAACGUACAGCGGCAUCCAAGAAGCCUUAUUUAACGCUCUUGACCUCGGAUCAGGUAGGGAUACCCGCUGAACUUAAGCAUACAAUAAGCGGAGGA
Molecule: unclassified non-coding RNA, 338 nt
Filed under: soil metagenome
Description: partial contains 5.8S ribosomal RNA, internal transcribed spacer 2, and large subunit ribosomal RNA
Rfam family: 5.8S ribosomal RNA (bases 1-120)
Source: RNAcentral